This 471-nucleotide ribosomal RNA is filed under the name uncultured bacterium. Its description in RNAcentral is "partial 16S ribosomal RNA". It matches the Rfam family "Bacterial small subunit ribosomal RNA", at positions 28 to 506 of the family's 1533-position model. The record is from RNAcentral.
GACGAACGCUGGCGGCGUGCUUAACACAUGCAAGUCGAACGCUAACGCUUGGUGCUUGCCCUGGGCGGUUGAGUGGCGCACGGGUGAGUAAUAUGUGAGUAACCUGCCCUUGACUCUGGGAUAAGCCUGGGAAACUGGGUCUAAUACUGGAUACGACAUGUCACCGCAUGGUGGUGUGUGGAAAGGGUUCUACUGGUUUUGGAUGGGCUGAGGGCCCAUGAGCUUGUUGGUGGGGUAAUGGCACACCAAGGCGACGACGGGUAGCCGGCCUGAGAGGGUGACCGGCCACACUGGGCUUGGGACAGGGCCCGGACGCCUACGGGAGGAAGCGGUGGGGAAUAUUGGAAAAUGGGCGGAGGCCAGAUGCAGCGACGCCGCGUGGGGGAUGACGGCCUUCGGGUUGUAAACCUCUUUCAGCACGGAAGAAGCGAAAGGAACGGUACGGGCAGAGGAGGCGCGGGCUAACUACGU